RNAcentral lists this ribosomal RNA (469 nucleotides) under uncultured bacterium. Its description in RNAcentral is "partial 16S ribosomal RNA". It matches the Rfam family "Bacterial small subunit ribosomal RNA", at positions 28 to 507 of the family's 1533-position model. The record is from RNAcentral.
GAUGAACGCUGGCGGCGUGCUUAACACAUGCAAGUCGAACGGUGAACACGGAGCUUGCUCUGUGGGAUCAGUGGCGAACGGGUGAGUAACACGUGAGCAACCUGCCCCUGACUCUGGGAUAAGCGCUGGAAACGGCGUCUAAUACUGGAUAUGUGACGUGACCGCAUGGUCUGCGUUUGGAAAGAUUUUUCGGUUGGGGAUGGGCUCGCGGCCUAUCAGCUUGUUGGUGAGGUAAUGGCUCACCAAGGCGUCGACGGGUAGCCGGCCUGAGAGGGUGACCGGCCACACUGGGACUGAGACACGGCCCAGACUCCUACGGGAGGCAGCAGUGGGGAAUAUUGCACAAUGGGCGGAAGCCUGAUGCAGCAACGCCGCGUGAGGGAUGACGGCCUUCGGGUUGUAAACCGCUUUUAGCAGGGAAGAAGCGAAAGUGACGGUACCUGCAGAAAAAGCGCCGGCUAACUACGUG